CAAUUAUAGUAACAGAUUCAGUGGGCUAAUGCUAUUCACCGUCUCCACCUAAGCGAUCGGGCCAGGCUACGCCCUUCAAUUUACAUAUGACAGAAAAGAUGUCAACAAACAAACAAUGUUUCUCAAUGGAUUCGUUCCACCACUUAGGGUAUUAUUGUGUUUUCUUAAUUAAUCUCGUUUGCAAUGAAGGGGCUGAAUAAAAGCCGUAGGCUGCUGAUCUCAGUGAUAUCAACAAGCAUUUAGCAUCGCAGCGCACGCUUACAACCUGAGCGCUUGAUCCCUUUCCAGCUGUAAUCUUUCCGCACCCGGCGACAGUGAAUAAAUGCUCCAGAGAAAGCCGCUUACUUGAAAUGGGGAGGAGAUACAAUGUGCAAGCCACUGAAGGGAGAUCCAGGACUGCUGCUGUCAAGAAGCAUUUUCACACCUCAGGGAGCACAGGAGGGCAGCACAGGGCAGGAGAACAUCAGGCAGACCCUGCGUGCCUCACGUCAGAAGGCUGCACUCCAGGUCCGGCCAGCGCCAUCUGGGACACAUAGCACAUACGUCACACCACAGACUGCCACUAGCCGCAGGGAAGCUGAACUUGAGCGUCAUCCCAGCACAUAAUCCAGACAGGACAGACCAGUUAUACCAUUGCUGCUGUGGGCACCCGAGUCCUCCAUCGCUGGUGGUUCUACCUCCUCUUGAAUAGUAGGAACAGUGGCCAGCAAGCCUGGAAGAACGAAGGGAUGGACUUCAGCAACAAGAAACGUAUUCAUAGGGCAACAAAGUCAAAGGCUCCUGCCCCUACAUUAAUCAAAAAGUGUUUCGAUAAAACUUAAUUUAUGGAUAUAAAGCACAUUAUUAGCAUGAUAAGGGAAUGCCGCAAUAUAAAAAAGACUGUCAUCUUGAAAACACAGAUAAGUUAUAUUUUAAUAGAAUCCCUGCCCUUGUACCCAUAGCCUCUAGGAUAGGUUCUGGACUCCUGCGACCCUGCAUAAGACAAGCGGGUACUGAAAAUGGAUGGAUGAAAAACAAACUUAAAACAUCAUGUUAUCACUUACAGCCUACAAUUCCAUCCAGUCCUGACUGAAUGAUGUUCAACACUAACGAGGUUCAUACAUCACCGCUGAAUCUGACAUGGUCUGCCUGGGUGAACUAAGCUUUCAUAACUGUGGGCCACAGCUCCUUGAAUAUAAUCACAUUUUCAAUGGAUGAACAUGUCCAUUACUUCACUACAUGUUAUGUAAGUUUUUGCCAUGGAAAGGCUGGGUAAUAAGCAAGCUUCAAGUUGAAUCAGCUUCCAAGCACAAUAUGAAUCUAACAAGCUACUCUCCCAAAAUGACAAAUUCUACUGUUCACAGAAGGAUGAAAUUUAGGGGGGGGGGAGGUCACAUUCAUUUUUUUCCCCCAAACUGGGGCACACUGUUCCUGAUUAGCUACUGAAGCACUUCAAUUUGACUGCAGCCAUAAUGGAACCAAGCUGUUCUGCUAAUCAAACACCUACCUCUUUAGCUUUCCAUCUUAAUAAAGACCUGUUUCUACAUAAUGGCAUUAUGCAAGUCAAUCACGUCAUAUUAGAAUCAACCUUAUAUAAAGGUUGAACGCAUGGGACGGUGCCAGAAAAUAUUAUGUGCUGCACGCACGCUGUGAAAUGCUAUGUAAGCUCACAGAUGUGCAUGGUCACAAGUGGGCAGGUGGUGUCACUACAGGAUCUGAGUCGACUGUGGAUGUGAGUAGCGGCAUGCAUGAGUGGUGCAAACCAAAUACAAAAACAACUAAAAACCAACUAAAAAAUCAACUAAACUAAAAGCAAUCAAAACACAAAAAAAGUAUGUGCCCGGUUCCUGCAAGAGGCUUUGCCAGUAUCAAUAUAGAGGAUUAAAGAUAAUCAACCAUUUUAUGAAAAUUCACGCAAGUACAUGAGAUGGGCCUUAACUUUCUAGAAUUGGUAAGGGUGCAGCUUUGGCAGAUGGUCUAAAGUCCUUUAUAGAUUAAUACUCGAAAACUACCAUGGUUGACUCAGAUUGUGCAGUGCAUGCAAGACUCGCAUACAGAGUUGAUUCAGAUCCUGCAGUGACAGGUGGUACAGAUCGGGUAGUUACACCUUGGAUGUGUGCUAUGUUCACAAACAAAUAAACUGACUUCCUAAUAGACUGCUGUGCUGAUUCACCAAAUGAUAUCAUGUGUCUCUACCACAGGGUCUCUUUCCUGCAUGACGCAUUUGAAAAACAAUUCAACGUGAGCUAUUGGCAUGGCUGAUGAAGAGGUUUUGUAUGGAUAAGCUAGUGACACGUUAUUACUGGAGGUCAAAGUUUUAUGUGAAGAUUGGAUAUAUUAGUAGGAGGACAUAGAAGAUCAUAAUCUCUAUGAUUUGCAUAAAAAGUAGAUCAUGGAUGUCUUCAAUGUCAAUCACAAUAUAAAAUUAUCAGAUCACCCACCCCUUCCCUGGUCUAUAGUUAAUUACCCUCAAAGUUACUAACCAAACAUGAUGUAAAAUGACUUGUUACAGGGAUACUCAAAAGGAUGACCACAAAACUAUUCAACUAGAAUGGUCGGUUGUUGGAAUGACAGCAUUGUAUUCCCUGGACAACUGCAUCAUGCUGUCCAUCUAAUCCAUACUUAUCCCACACUUGCCAACCUGUACAAUUUAUGGAACAUACUGGGUGCAUCAACUGGAAAUGUGUAAAUCAGAAUCAAGUAUCAAAACUCAUUACUCAAUUUUGGGGAGACUUCAAAAUUUCACCAGCUUUACUGUAGUUCCUCUCCGAUACAAUGACUGUGAAAAGUCCAUAUAAUGCUUUUUGAGUUAUCAUCCUAACAAGCAAAGUAUCUGCAGCAGCUGAGGACCGGUACCAAAACCAUAUGUAUCCAGCAGACAUUUUGUGCUAGAAAAUCCGGCUUCUCAAAUAAUUGAGUGGAAUACUAAUCAUCACACAAAAGAAUGAUUUGAUGGCCUUAAUUUUUAUUAGAUCUGAGUAGGAGUGAAUGGGCACUAGAUUCCCACACCCAUUUAACAAUGAAGUCAAAUUUAUUUAUUAACUGCUAGAGGACCUUGGUGCAACAUCUCAUCUGAAGAACACAGCCUUCAGCUGUUAUAUGCUGGACCUUCAUUUGGUCUAGAGGGAACAGUAUUCCCUACUCACUGGACACAACUUCCAGCAGCAACUUUGAUGUUCCUAGAUGUGUCCUACUAAAAAAGUAGCCAAAUCCUACAGGUAUUUUAACGUAAA
This is a non-coding RNA of Paramormyrops kingsleyae, 3212 nucleotides long. Lineage: Eukaryota; Metazoa; Chordata; Actinopteri; Osteoglossiformes; Mormyridae. The record is from RefSeq and is a predicted model, not a curated record.